Molecule: microRNA precursor, 113 nt
Filed under: Mus caroli (Ryukyu mouse)
Lineage: Eukaryota; Metazoa; Chordata; Mammalia; Rodentia; Muridae
Description: miRNA (MGP_CAROLIEiJ_G0008000.1)
Source: RNAcentral
UCUUGGGCAGCAGCACGGCCUGGAUAUUAGUCAGGACGCCGCCCUGCGCGAUGGUCACAAGGCCCAGCAGCUUGUUGAGCUCCUGGUCGUUGUGGAUGGCCAGCUGCAGGUGG